UGCAUCCGGCCAUCCCUCUUCAGCAAAGCACCGAAGCACACGCAUCACCUAAAGCGCAUGCGUCGGUGCUGCUCAGAAGAGUGGCGGACUGCU
RNAcentral lists this non-coding RNA (93 nucleotides) under Chrysemys picta bellii (western painted turtle). Lineage: Eukaryota; Metazoa; Chordata; Testudines; Emydidae. RNAcentral also lists the same sequence under 1 other name. The record is from RNAcentral.